CUACGGGUUGCUCCAGUGGGGAAUAUUGGGCAAUGGGCGCAAGCCUGACCCAGCAACGCCGCGUGAGGGAAGAAGGUUUUCGGAUUGUAAACCUCUGUCCUUGGGGACGAAGAAGUGACGGUACCCAAGGAGGAGGCUCCGGCUAACUACGUGCCAGCAGCCGCGGUAAUACGUAGGGAGCAAGCGUUGUCCGGAAUUACUGGGCGUAAAGGGUGCGUAGGCGGCAUAUUAAGUCAGGUGUGAAAUACUCGGGCUCAACCCGGGGGCUGCAUUUGAAACUGAUAUGCUUGAGUGUGGGAGAGGAAAGUGGAAUUCCUAGUGUAGCGGUGGAAUGCGUAGAUAUUAGGAGGAACACCAGUGGCGAAGGCGACUUUCUGGCUCAUAACUGACGCUGAGGCACGAAAGCGUGGGGAGCAAACAGGAUUAGAUACCCUUGUAGUC
Molecule: ribosomal RNA, 441 nt
Filed under: uncultured bacterium
Lineage: Bacteria
Description: partial 16S ribosomal RNA
Rfam family: Bacterial small subunit ribosomal RNA
Source: RNAcentral